This 242-nucleotide unclassified non-coding RNA is filed under the name Hevea brasiliensis (rubber tree). The record is from RNAcentral. Lineage: Eukaryota; Viridiplantae; Streptophyta; Magnoliopsida; Malpighiales; Euphorbiaceae.
AAAUAGAUAAAUGUUGUAUGAGAACUAUGAUAGAAUAUAAGCUUGGAUAUUUAAAUGGAAAAUAUUUGUAUAGCAUGAAUAUAUCAGCUGAAGCAUAAACACAGUUGGCGUAAGAUUCAUGUUUCCGCUGCACCGUUCUCCCCUCCUCUUUGUCGUUCUUCUACAUGCCCCUUGCUUCUUUUUCCCCUUUACUGCCCUCACCCUCUGUGUUUCCACAUUAGUCAUCACUGCAACCCCUCCCG